UCUGGGUGUGGUGGCGCACACCUGUAAUCCCAGUGGCUUGGGAGGCUGAGGCAGGAGAAUCACAAGUUCAAAGCCAUCCUCAGCAACUUAAUGAGGCCCUGAGCAACUUAGUGAGAGACCCUGUCUCAA
This 129-nucleotide small RNA is filed under the name Marmota monax (woodchuck). Lineage: Eukaryota; Metazoa; Chordata; Mammalia; Rodentia; Sciuridae. The record is from RNAcentral.